UGUGUGUGUGUGUGUAUGUAUCUAUCUAUCUAUAUAUAUAUAUAUAUAGAUAGAUAGAUACAUACACACACACACACA
Pelobates cultripes (western spadefoot toad) is the source of this 78-nucleotide non-coding RNA. The record is from the annotation of a GenBank genome assembly. Lineage: Eukaryota; Metazoa; Chordata; Amphibia; Anura; Pelobatidae.